GAUGAACGCUGGCGGCGUGCCUAAUACAUGCAAGUCGAGCGAACAGACGAGGAUCUUGCUCCUCUGACGUUAGCGGCGGACGGGUGAGUAACACGUGGAUAACCUACCUAUAUUUCUUUGAUAACUUCGUGAAACCGGUGCUUAUACCGGAUAAUAUAUUGCACCGCAUGGUUCAAUAGUUAAAUACGGUUUUUCUGUCUCUUAUAGAUUGAUCCCGGCCGCAUUCGCUAGUUGGUAAGGUAACGGCUUACCAAGGCAACGAUGCGUAGCCGACCUGAGAGGGUGAUCGGCGACACGGGAAGAGAGACACGGAACAGAAGCCUACGGGAGGCAGCAGUAGGGAAUAUUGCGAAAUGGGCGAAAGCAUGACGGAGCAACGCCGCGUGAGUGAUGAAGGACUUCGGAUCGUAAAACUCUGUUAUUAGGGAAGAACAAAUGUGUAAGUAACUAUGCACGUAUUGACGGUACCUAAUCAGAAAGCAACGGCUAACUACGUG
RNAcentral lists this ribosomal RNA (497 nucleotides) under uncultured bacterium. RNAcentral describes it as "partial 16S ribosomal RNA". It matches the Rfam family "Bacterial small subunit ribosomal RNA", at positions 28 to 507 of the family's 1533-position model. The record is from RNAcentral.